GCCAUGCGAGUCGAACGUUCUUUAACCAUGUGAAGGACGUGGCAAACGGCUCAGUAACACGUAGUCAACCUGCCCUGAAGACAUAGACAGCCUCGGGAAACUGAGAUUAAUUUGUGAUAUACCUAGAUUUCUGGAAUGGGUCUUGGUAAAAAGGAAUAGGUAAGCAUGUUUGCUUAUUCGCUUUAGGAUGGGGCUGCGGCCGAUCAGGUUGUUGGUGGGGUAAUGGCCCACCAAGCCUUUGACCGGUACGGGCUUUGAGAGAAGGAGCCCGGAGAUGGACACUGAGACAAGGGUCCAGGCCCUACGGGGCGCAGCAGGCGCGAAAACUUCGCAAUGCGCGAAAGCGUGACGAGGCUACUCUGAGUGUUAUCCGCUGAGGAUAACUUUUCUCAGGUCUAAAUAUUCUGAGGAAUAAGGGGAGGGCAAGCCUGGUGUCAGCCGCCGCGGUAAUACCAGCUCCCCGAGUGGUUAGGGUGUUUAUUGGGCCUAAAGCAUCCGUAGCCUGCUUUGUAAGUCUUCAAUUAAAUUCAACGGCUCAACCGUUGAGCUGCUGGAGAAACUGCGAGGCUAGGAGGCGGGAGAGGCGGACGGUACUCCGUGGGUAGGGGCAAAAUCCUUUGAUCCAUGG
This 628-nucleotide ribosomal RNA is filed under the name uncultured archaeon. RNAcentral describes it as "bacterial SSU rRNA". It matches the Rfam family "Archaeal small subunit ribosomal RNA", at positions 48 to 652 of the family's 1478-position model. The record is from RNAcentral.